UGAGGAAUUUUGCGCAAUGGGAGCAAUCCUGACGCAGCAACGCCGCGUGGGUGAUGAAGGCCUUCGGGUCGUAAAGCCCUGUCAGGUGGGAAGAAUGUCCCGGGACUGAACAGGUUUCGGGAGUGACGGUACCACCAGAGGAAGCACCGGCUAACUCCGUGCC
Molecule: ribosomal RNA, 163 nt
Filed under: uncultured bacterium
Lineage: Bacteria
Description: partial 16S ribosomal RNA
Rfam family: Bacterial small subunit ribosomal RNA
Source: RNAcentral